GUUUUUAUAGUAUAAUUUAUUACUUAACAUUUUCAUUGUUAUAAUGCUUAGCUAAAAAUA
RNAcentral lists this transfer RNA (60 nucleotides) under Stylochyrus rarior. Its description in RNAcentral is "tRNA-Glu". Lineage: Eukaryota; Metazoa; Arthropoda; Arachnida; Mesostigmata; Ologamasidae. The record is from RNAcentral.